UACGUAGGUCCCGAGCGUUGUCCGGAUUUAUUGGGCGUAAAGCGAGCGCAGGUGGUUUAUUAAGUCUGGUGUAAAAGGCAGUGGCUCAACCAUUGUAUGCAUUGGAAACUGGUAGACUUGAGUGCAGGAGAGGAGAGUGGAAUUCCAUGUGUAGCGGUGAAAUGCGUAGAUAUAUGGAGGAACACCGGUGGCGAAAGUGGCUCUCUGGCCUGUAACUGACACUGAGACUCGAAAGCGUGGGGAGCAAACAGG
This 252-nucleotide ribosomal RNA is filed under the name uncultured bacterium. RNAcentral's name for it is "partial 16S ribosomal RNA". It matches the Rfam family "Bacterial small subunit ribosomal RNA", at positions 524 to 776 of the family's 1533-position model. The record is from RNAcentral.